RNAcentral lists this ribosomal RNA (301 nucleotides) under uncultured Lactobacillus sp. Its description in RNAcentral is "bacterial SSU rRNA". It matches the Rfam family "Bacterial small subunit ribosomal RNA", at positions 495 to 795 of the family's 1533-position model. Lineage: Bacteria; Bacillati; Bacillota; Bacilli; Lactobacillales; Lactobacillaceae. The record is from RNAcentral.
UCCCAGUGCUCGCACAGCAGGUGCGGUAAGAGGGAGGGUGCAAGCGUUGCUCGGAAUCAUUGGGCGUCAAUCGCACGUGGGCGGCCUGGUAAGUCGGUUGUGAAAGCCCUUGGCUCAACCCAGGAAGUGCACUCGAAACUGACGGGCUUGAAUAUGGAAGAGGGUCGCGGAAUUCCCGGUGUAGAGGUGAAAUUCGUAGAUAUCGGGAGGAACACCAGUGGCGAAGGCGGCGACCUGGGCCAAUAUUGACGCUGAGGUGCGAAAGCGUGGGGAGCAAACAGGAUUAGAUACCCGGGUAGUC